Molecule: ribosomal RNA, 468 nt
Filed under: uncultured bacterium
Lineage: Bacteria
Description: partial 16S ribosomal RNA
Rfam family: Bacterial small subunit ribosomal RNA
Source: RNAcentral
GACGAACGCUGGCGGCGUGCUUAACACAUGCAAGUCGAACGGAAAGGCCCUGCUUUUGUGGGGUGCUCGAGUGGCGAACGGGUGAGUAACACGUGAGUAACCUGCCCCUGACUUUGGGAUAACUUCAGGCAACUGGGGCUAAUACCGGAUAGGAGCUCCUGCUGCAUGGUGGGGGUUGGAAAGUUUCGGCGGUUGGGGAUGGACUCGCGGCUUAUCAGCUUGUUGGUGGGGUAGUGGCUUACCAAGGCUUUGACGGGUAGCCUGCCUGGUCGGGUGACCUGCCACAUUGGGACUGGGAUACGGCCCAGACUCCAACGGGACGCAGCGGUGCGGAAUAUUGCACAAUGGGCGGAAGCCUGACGCGGCAACGCCGCGUGCGGGAUGACGGCCCUCGGGUUGUAAACCGCUUUCGCCUGUGACGAGGCGUUAGUGACGGUAAUGGGUAAAGAAGCACCGGCUAACUACGUG